Molecule: long non-coding RNA, 1377 nt
Filed under: Homo sapiens (human)
Lineage: Eukaryota; Metazoa; Chordata; Mammalia; Primates; Hominidae
Description: long intergenic non-protein coding RNA 2241
Source: RNAcentral
AGUUUUCCCUGUACAAGCUCUCGCCUGCCGCCAUGUAAACGUUCUUUGCUCCUGCUUCGUCUUCUGCCGUGAUUGUGAGGCCUCCCCAGCCAUGUGGAACUACUCAUCACUCACUGCAGAUGUUACUUUAAGACAUUCUGGAGCAGCGUCAUGUGCAGGAACAAUAAGGAAGUGAGUGCUUUUGUAAUUCCUGAACAACUGUGUCUUACACUUACUAAGUUCUCUUGCCUGCCACCAUGUAAGAUAUGCUUUUACUCUUCCGCCUUCCACCGUGACUGUGAGGCCUCCCCAGCCAUGUGAAACUGCCUUUGAGCUUAUACUGAAUUAUACCACCAGCUUUCCUAGGUCUUGAAGCUUACAGACAGCAGAUCUUGGGACUUCUCAGGCACCAUAAUCAAUCAUAGAUAAAUGAUCCAAUGAUUCGGAACUUGAAAAGUGGUAGCUUUAUGAAUUCUCCUUAAGAAGAAACCUGUGCCCUGAUCUUGCCUACUCACCCAAAGGCACUGUGAGAUAGCAUCAAAGGAACAGCUAGUAAGAGACACAGAGCCAGAAAUCAGGGAAGUAAAAUACACUUGACAUCUACGUUCGGAAAGAAAUUUUAGGAGGCAGAAGCAAAUGGAUCAGAAGCUGCUUAUAUUUUUGCAAGAUUACCAAAGAAACCAUUGGUGGAGAAAGUUCUGUGACCAACUUGUCUGAGUCUAGUAAGAUUGAACGCUCACACACAAGUUUCAUGAAGUGGGUUUGAUACUUACAGAUAAGCAGCAAGGACCAACAGAAGCUGAUGAUCUAUGGUGAACUUUUUCCCAAGGCUCCGGAAAGCUGCCUAAAGUAGAUGGAGUCUUCUCUGUGUGUGCCCCACUGGUCCUGCAGUUGAAGGAUCCGGUAAAGCAGCCUGCCCUUGGUUUUAUACUCCAGAGGAACGUGAUUCGCUGGACUAAAGCAUUGAAGUGCAUCCUGUUUCCGGGGGGCACUGGAACAGAGCCUGGUCUGUUCUAGCCAGUCCCUUUCUAUCUCAGGAUAACAUUCUACAGUUAUUCUUGAGAACUAUAAUCAAAUAAGCAGGGAGAACUGGGAAAGCAGAGGCUCAUUGUGGAACCCUCAAGGAGCAUGGGGUCGUCUUCAUCCCUCAGUUUAUAAAUGGCCAAGGAGAGUAAUGCAACAAAAACUUCUCAGAGUUAAAAGCCAGAGUUCCUAAAGAACCGUGGACAAAGGGUUCUGUCUAGUGGGCAGAAUUCAUCCAGCGAAGGAAAUUUGGAACCCAGGUUUUCCCAACCUACAUCUACAAAAUGGAAUGGGUCUGAUUCGCAAGUUUUCAGAGAAAGAAGCCAACCUUAAUCAGACUGUGAUAUGAUGAGGAAAUAAAACUUGCUGUGCUAA